GAAAUAAAAAUCAUCAAGAUGAACAGAAGUCAGAUGUCACCAGCCCCCAUAUACAGUCAUCAUCCCUCAUCCAGUUAAAACAGUUCUCACACAAGAAGGCCUAACUCAAAAAGAGGCUGUGUUCUCAUGAGCUUCCCUUGCUUCUGAAACACUUCCAAACAUCAUCUUACAUUUCCUGAAGAAGAUGAUGCAUCGACCAGUGGCACAGGAUGAAGAGGGUGAUCCGGAAGAGUCUUUUGAACUACUUGGCUGCGGUGUUUAAACAACCACCAGGAAAUUUUGAUGACCGUUCUCUCCGGAGCUCCUGUCUUUCCCCAGAGAAACAAAAGCAUCGAAACUACAAAAAUAAAGUGUUAUUUGGCUGGAAUGAGGUCUCAUGGUUGUUUAUGCGGUGGCUCGCUGCUCAAGACAGGGCUCCGCCGUCUCCGCCAUCUUCUGAGCACUCCACGCUGCCACCUUCACGUUUCUCUACUGGCCUCCAAGUACUCCAAAAUCUUUCGGAUCUGUGCCCCUACCCCUGUUUUUAGCAUGUUUGGGGACUCCAGGUCCCUGAAGGUUUCUGGCCUGAAAUCCACCUCCCCAGCCUCAUGGAUUCUGCUCUAG
This is a long non-coding RNA of Rhinopithecus bieti (black snub-nosed monkey), 603 nucleotides long. Lineage: Eukaryota; Metazoa; Chordata; Mammalia; Primates; Cercopithecidae. The record is from Ensembl.